Molecule: transfer RNA, 64 nt
Filed under: Micronecta sahlbergii
Lineage: Eukaryota; Metazoa; Arthropoda; Insecta; Hemiptera; Micronectidae
Description: tRNA-Thr
Source: RNAcentral
GUUUUAAUAGUUUAAAUAAAAAUAAUGAUCUUGUAAAUCAUGGAUAGAAUAAUUCUUUAAAACU